GACGAACGCUGGCGGCGUGCUUAACACAUGCAAGUCGAACGGAACGGCCCUGCUUUUGUGCGGUGCUCGACUGGCGAACGGGUGAGUUACCCGUGGGUAACCUGCCCCUGACUGUGGGAUAACCUCAUGAAACUGGGGCUAAUCCCGGAUAGGAGCUCCUGCUGCUUGGUGGGGGUUGGAUAGUUUCGGCGGUUGGGGAUGGACUCGCGGCCUAUCAGCUUGUUGGUGGGGUAGUGGCUUACCAAGGCCUUGACCGGUAGCCGGGCUGGGAGGGUCACCGGCCACAUUAGGCUGGAGCUGCGACACAGACUCGUACGGGAGGCAACGGUGGGGAAUAGUGCAUAGUGGACGGAGGGAUGGUGUAGCAAAGCCACGUGGGGGAUGACAGCCUGCGGGUAGUGAACCGCUUUCGCUUGUGACGAGACGUGAGUGACGGUAAUGGGUAAAGAAGCACCGGCUAACUACGUG
Molecule: ribosomal RNA, 468 nt
Filed under: uncultured bacterium
Lineage: Bacteria
Description: partial 16S ribosomal RNA
Rfam family: Bacterial small subunit ribosomal RNA
Source: RNAcentral